This is a long non-coding RNA of Prosopis cineraria, 2611 nucleotides long. RefSeq lists it as uncharacterized. NCBI's taxonomy places the organism in Eukaryota, Viridiplantae, Streptophyta, Magnoliopsida, Fabales, Fabaceae. The record is from RefSeq and is a predicted model, not a curated record. The transcript is spliced from 2 exons.
UCUCUUCACCGCCAGUACUCUCCUCUGCUCCUUCAUUAUCGCUCCACUUCUCAAGUUCUUCUCAUCAAUUUUCUUUGCUCACCAUCGAUUGCGUCUCUUCGCUGCUAUUGCCUCACUCUUCGUUCUUCUUUCUGCCUAAGUUCAUAUGUUACAGUAAGGUUGGGUUGCUGGAUGCCUUUUCCCCUGCCAUCGUUUUUAGCUUCAUGUUAACUUGAGUGGCCGACUGUGGUGGUGCGUACGUUCGAUUCCUAUAUGCUCUUCCUCCUAAACUGUUGGCAUCGUGUGUUUGCUUGAUCUUUCUCUUCACUCUUCCUUCCUAUUCAGCUAGUGGGUGCUGUGUGAGUGGGUAUGCUAAAUUCAACUUCUUCUUCUUUGUUUUUUUUUUUUUUUGUUUUGGUCGAAAAUUCUGCCUCUGCUUUUCUUGUUGCUGCCGUGUCUUGCUUCAGAAUUAAGGAGCUGAAUUCGUUAAUGCUGUGGAAUUUUAUUGUGAUGCUAAGCUUAAUGUUGAUAAAAUUUAUGUGAAAAGUUAAUUAAAUGGCUAGAUGAUUAUUGUUAGAUAAAGUUGGAUACUCUCAAGAUGUUUGUGAAAAUGUUUGAAUGAAGAAUUUAGGAACUAUUUUAGAUAAUAUUAGAUGUUAUUUUAUUAAUGUUGAGCUAAAUAUUGAUGAGAAAAUUAAGCGUUGGAAAUGGUUGAAUUUGCUUGGAUUUUUGCCUCAUGAUUUUGUUAAUGGUAAAAGUUCUCUUGGUGCUUGUAAAUGUGCUUGAAAAUUUUGUUGGUCGAAAUGAAAUUGUUAAAUUGUUAUAAUAGAGCUUGGAUGAAUUAUGAAUAUUAUUUAAAGGAGUAUAUGUAAGGUUUGAAAUUUUAAGAAUAUCAAAAUAUGAGAAAGGAAUGCCUAGAAUGCCUUUAUGGUAUGUUAUUAAAUCCAAAGGAAGCAAAAGAAUAGUUGAUAUGAGAUGUUAUGACUUAUGGUUGAGAGUAGAUUAUAAAGAGCUAUGAGAAUGAAUUGCAAAUCAUCAAAGGUUUAACUAACCUAAGUAUACUUGGAAUAUAAUUAGUUAAAAUAUUAUCUUUAAUAUUGUUGGAUUACCAUUAAGUGCUUAAAAAAUUAUUUGAUAAAUGAUUUUAAAAUUUUGAUUUACUUGUCAGGACAUUAAUAAUGCCAUUAGAAUAAAAGUGUAAAGUAAGAGAAGCAAAUUUUAAAACUUUUUCAAACUUUCAGGUGAGUGGGUAGCGUUCCUAAUGAAUUUCUUGUAAUUGUUUACAAAAUUCCUUUACUUAAAUUUUAAUACUAUUUCUUUAUUUGUUAUAUAAGCAUUCUUGUCAAUUCUACUUUUAUAAUAAUUAUUUUAUUAAUCAUGAGAUCUUGAUUUUACUAUUAAUUUAUGCUAAUGACAAAUAACAAUUAAAGUUGAUAUACGAUAAACGGUGUUAUUUUUUAAAAAUAGCUCAAUUGUUUAAUUUUAUGUUUGAUAUGCAAACCUUUAGUACAACAACUCGUGCAUAGAGGAAAUGAUAAUGAAUAUGAGAAUGGAAAAUGACAUCGAAUUGUAUAUUUCGAAAGUGAAAAUUUUGAGUUUGUUUUUUUUACUCCAUGCACGCUUGAUUUUAAUUAGGAAAAUUGAGUUCAGAAUGCUGGAUGUUAACAGCAGUUCUGUUAGCCCUUGGUGCAUCAUGGUAUACCUAGUUAGCAAGGUGUUUGUUGGAAGUGCUAGCCCUAUGCGAAGGCCAACGCACAUGGAUCAGAGGGAUGGUAAUUCGUGAGUAUUGUACUUAUGCUUGUUUUCAUGGACUUCAUGCCUGUGCUUGAUUUGUGGCUCCUGCCGUGCUUGUUUCGUGGCUUUUAGCUAUGCUUGAUUGGUUACUUGCUUUCAUAGACUGUGUGUCCAUACUUGAUUGGUUAUUUAUCCCUGUGGACUGUGUGUCCACACUUGUUAUUUGUUCUGGUAAAGCCCUCCUAUAUUAGAUUUAAAACUUAUCAUUUUAUAUUUGUUUCUUUAAAGGAUUUUUUAAAUUGCACCAUUAUUUGAAAUCUUUUUAUAUAUAUAUAUAUAUAUAUUAAAUAGAAAAAUUUUGAUAAAUUUAUCUAGUUUAGAUGCUAUUGUUGAUUUCAUAGUUGUAUUAUUGAGCAAACUUGUCAUUUAUUGUUUGUUAAAGUAAGUUUCAUUAUUUUCUUGUUUUUGUUUAAACUAAAUUUAUCAGUUACUACCUGUCACAUUUUAUUUUUAAUUAAUUAUAAUUUAUAAUUUCAAUUGGAAUGCUGCUCACCGAAAAAUUCUUUGGCCUCAGAUGUUGUAGAUGACCCUAUCUAUUGAUCGUUGAGGGGCAGUGUCACUUUUUAGACAGUGGAAGUACGUUUUGGUUAUUUUGAUGUAAUUGUAAUCUAGUGCUCUACAUAUAUCAUAGUUAGAUCUUAGUUUUGUUUUGAUGAUUUAUAAUUUGUUAGUGUGGAGCUAAGCUCCUUCACUGUAUUUGGCUAAUAAGUUUUGUUAUGGUAAAAAAAAUUUUAGAAGGUCCAAAUUACGGGAGGAACUCUACCGAAAUUUCUAUAGAAUAUUUAAGAAUUUUUGGUUACCUUACAAUUAUAUAUAUAAAUUAGUUAUUGAUAUUUUA